Non-coding RNA from Misgurnus anguillicaudatus (oriental weatherfish), 2818 nucleotides. Lineage: Eukaryota; Metazoa; Chordata; Actinopteri; Cypriniformes; Cobitidae. The record is from RefSeq and is a predicted model, not a curated record.
ACACAGGAAAAGUGGCGGAGUAUUUUUUCCAGAGUUAAUAUUUUUUUCCUCCAAAAGAGUUGUUUUUGCUCCGUUUUGAGUAAACAAAGUAAAAUGUGUUAGUAGAGUGGGAGCAAAAUUACAGAGUAACUGUAACAGAGUUAAAUGUUUCCCUCCUAAUUUCCGUUUAUCUGCCAUUGCUGUAUAUAAUGUUAAAAGACUAACAAUAAAGAUUAAUGACACGCCUGCAUAUAUUUCUAUUGUGAAAAUAAAUAAACAACAUCUCAAAAAAUAUCAUUUAGUAACUAAUUUGAAUCAAACUAAUUAGAAAAACGAACACCUAAAAGUACAUAAACAUAAUAAAAAACUAAAGUAACUGAAACCAUCUUUGGGGGAAAUAUCUGCAAUUAGAUUUUUAAGUUUGGUUCACGUAGCAUUUGCUUACAUAGAGUUUGCGGGCUUUAUGACCUACACGGCACCCAGCCACCAGAGGGCGAUAGAAAUAUUUUCUUCACUCACCGUGGCUCCCUUUGGUAACGGCCAUAUCGAUCACUGCUGGUUAAGAAGACAAGCUGCUUUUCUGCUGGAUGGUGAAGAUUCAAACCAACAACGUUGUCAGAGUAAAGUUCAAAGACAGCAAGAAAUAUAUUUUCUCUUCACAACCAUUUACAUUUCACACAUUUUUGGAAUGUGUUGCCAAGAAGUUUAAUCUUCCUACAAUGAAUGUCUUUGAUGACUCAGACAGAGGUUGAUGAGGAAUAAUAUCUGCUGACAUGACCAGACUUUGGUGUCCUAGAAAUCUUCAUCCCAGAAAGCACAACAAGCCUUGAUGGGCACGUCAGACUCUGAUGGGACCGCAGUGUUGAUUAGAAAUCCUCCUGAAAAAAAUCUAGCCAAGAAACGUCAUCUAGUCCAGAUCGAAAAUAUCCUAAACAGCAUCCCUGGAGGCGAAUAAGGUCAUAAAGGAAUACGCUCGCACAAAGUCUUUCAGAUGGCAAAAGACGUGACAUGGUGAAAAUCUUGGUAGCACAUUUAACAAAGGAACAUGGAUCUUCCCCUUACCGAAGUUUGAAGGAAGAAUAUGCAAAGGGUAUUAUCUCCAUAUUCCCAUGCUUUGCUGAACCCAGGAGCAAGCUUGGUUAUGAGCAUUAUUACAAUGCAGAAGAUGGAAGUGGAUAUUUGGCGUGGAGAAUUAAAACUCAAGCAUCAGAGGGACGGAUAAAAUGCCCACGGCAACCACAAACAGGUGCAUGACUUGCAGAUUGAUUUGCAGAUUUUGGACUUCUAUUUGGUGAGGCGACCACUGCAAAGUUGUUGGACAAGUGGUUUACCAACAUAAAACCAAAGGUUAUUGCACAGACCCGUGGCCUUAAACAGACUUGUAAGGUCCAAGACCUCAUCCAAAAUGCUGAAGUUGAAGAUGGUAACUAUUGUGCUAUACAUACAUGUGCUAUACAAGUUAUGAAUUCAUGAAGAAUGGCUUUAGAACCAUAGUUUCAAUUGUAUUAUUUAUUGUAUUAUAUUUACAACAUAUAAUCCAUGCUUUUGUUAUUUAGAGUCCCAAAUGAAAACUAUUUUAAACUGUAAAUCUACAACUCGCAUACUAGUCCCUUGUGAAAACCCAUCUGAAAGCGCUCUAUUUUUACACACUAAUUUUGUACUUUAUAUACAAAAAAUUCUUCUUUUGUACUUCUUGAGAUAAUCUUAAGAACAUCUAAGUAUACUUGUCUGUACUAUUUUGAGACACCAUGAAUAUGAACUGAAAUAUGCUUAAAAUAUAUAUAUAAAAAAAUGUAUUUAGGUACCGCUUGUAGUAAACUUAAACCCAUCUUUCAUACAAACAAGUGGUAAAUAAAUAAAUUUUUUAAAUAUAUUUUAAGCACAUUUUAGUUUAUAUUCAUGGCGUCUCAAUAUAGCACAAUCAUUUUUAAGUUUAUUAAGUACAAAAUUAAUGUGCGAAAAGAGAGCAGUACAUUAUUGAAGUGUACUUCUUUUUCAGCUGGGUUUUCACAAGGGCCUAGUACGUGAGUUGCAGAUUUACACUUUUAAAUUGUUUUAAUUUGGGACUCUAAUAACAAACGCAUGGUUUACAUAUUGUAAAUAACGUUUAAAGGGGACAUAUUAUGAAAAUCUGACUUUCCUUGUUUAAGUGCUAUAAUUGGGUCCCCAGUGCUUCUAUCAACAGAGAAAAUGUGAAAAAGAUUAACCCAGUAACUUAGUUUUGAUAAACCAGUCUCUGCAAGUAUGUGGAAAAAAUAGCUCAUUGAAAUGUGGCUCCCCUUGUGAUGUAAGAAGGGGAUCUUACUAUAAUUAUACUACCUCUUAAUCUGCACUAUUCAACCACUGCCAUUUAGUGCAGCUCAUUUGCAUUUAAAAGGAUACACCCAAAAUCAACACAUAUUUGCUCACACCUACAAGUGUCAAUUUUAACAUGUUAUAAUAAAUUGUCUAUAUGGUAUUUUGAGCUAAAACUUCACAUACAUACUCUGGGACAGCAAAUAUUUAUUUCACAUCUUAAAGUCUUGUGAAAUGUCUCCUUUAACUGUAUUUCAUCAUUUCAGUAUUUGUAGUAGUUUGUUUCUGCUUUGUUUAUUGUACCAUAUUAUUUCAUGUAAUUCUUUAUCUCCUCUGUUGUAUUAUCACUAUUUAUAUUAUUUUAGUGUUGUUGUCAUGAAUUGUAAAAAUGCUGUUUAAAAGAUUAGCUUGACAAAUAAAAUGUAUAAUAGAUGCUGUUAUAGCAAGAGAAUAAAAUUUUACUGAAAUUACAGUUUUGUUUCAGACUGAUGUUUUUCAUUUUCGAGCUGUUUGAUGGUGAAACGUGAAUUUUGUAAUUCAGAAG